This 2005-nucleotide long non-coding RNA is filed under the name Pan troglodytes (chimpanzee). RNAcentral's name for it is "long non-coding RNA NONPTRT007071". The record is from RNAcentral. Lineage: Eukaryota; Metazoa; Chordata; Mammalia; Primates; Hominidae.
GGCAUACAGGCCAAACAGAAAAACCUACAGAGAGCAUCCAAGAGUCCCCCAUUACCUCCCAACUUGCUACUUAAACCACAGCUGAAGAAGUUGGCAAAAUGUUACAGGCUCUUAUGAGUGAGAAAAUGGUAUUUAAACUUAAGACAUAUCAAGGGGGAGACAGGAACCUGGGCAGUGGACAAAAAGGCCAGGGAAGGGUCUUCAGUGUCCUUGUCCUUGUCCUUCUUCCCUUGGGGGAAAUUUGGCAGUCAGCAGCCUUGCUCUGCUAUCUAAAUUGGACCACCAGGACAAGAUAAAAUUGAUAACAGAAAGUUUAUUCAAGAAUUGUUUGACAGACAACCCUUUUAGGUAAGGAAAAAAGUAACUACUGAAGAACAAAGAAAGUUCCAAGAGGGAAUUAACUCUAGUUCUACAAAUUCAGGACUAUACAGUGACGAUUAGGAGCUGAGUUCAUGCCUUUUAGAACUAAUUACAAUUGUUCGUAAGUACAAGUUUAACAUAAAUCUACAGCUCUUUUCUAGAGUACAAUAGUAACUAAAAUAGCUGGUUUUACAUGACAGGAAACACAAUGUCCUUUGUAACAGGUAAAUACUAAAAAAGUACAAUUUUUUCCUUUUUUUCCCUCAUAUAAAUACAUAAUGUAGGGGGAUAAAUAAUACAAAAAAGAAAAUAUUUUAACAGGCUAUAACCAAUAAAUAUAUAUGAAAAUGUUCACUAGAACACACGCUUUUUUGAGCAAUGCUGGACUUCUGCAGGCCCAGACAUCUCUCACAGUUGUUUUUACAUCCAUUAAAAUGUAAACUCUAAGUGCAACAAAAGUGUCCUGUCAGGAGGCUGAGCAAGGCACACAGGCCCUGCCCAGCCCCUGCCUGGGACAGACAGUUUGUUCAAAUAUACCCUGUUUUCACGUUAAGUCAAGAGAGCAACAGAAGAAAAGUAUAGAACCUCGUGUCACCAACUGCUUUCCGUGGAGAGGGGGAUGGAGCUGGAGCUGAGAUGGAGGCAGCAGAAUGGGCAAACCUUGAGUCCUAACAACCUGCCUGCCCUAGCCUCCACACUUUUCCUUAAAAAAAAAAGUAUAUAAUUUAUAAUAUAGGCAGCUCUUUCAGGAUCUCUCACCAUCCCUGAGCCCUCUAAAAACUGUAAUUGAUGGGGGUGGGAUGUAUAGAUAUGAAUGUUCUAGAGCAGAAAAACCGGGGGCUAGAAGUGGAGGGGGUAGGUACCUCAAUAAACCUCAAAUAAAUGGGAACAAAUUUGAGGUUUUGGGAAAGUUGGAAGGGAACGUGUUUUGUGCCCUUUGGGUUUGAAAUGUGUUUUCUUAUUUUUUAAAGGAUAAUUGAGGAAAAAAAUCAAGAUUUGGGGGGAAUUACCUACAAAGAUGUAAGGUAAGUCCGUUGGUUGGUGAUGGCCUAGCCAUCUUGUCUGGUUUUUAAAAUGUGCUUUUCUGCCUCUUCCUGUCUCGUCUUCCUCUACCCCACUCCCGGGCGUGGAAUUCCAACUUGGUAGUGCUGGAGCCCUGGGGUUGAUGGGGUCAUCUCCAAUAUGAUGUGGAUUCCUUUCCGAUGGGUUGGCAGGCAGAUGGAACAAGGGGUGGAAGACUUAAAAGCAACCUCUCAGGCCAGGGGGAGGGGAAGGAGCUCCAGGCCGGUUCUGACCAGGAAGCCUGGGUACCACCUUCUCUGGCUCCUCUUUUCAGACCUCCAGGCUGCCCCCAGAGCUCCACAGUCUCUCUCUUCCUCCCCAUCCCCUAAUCCUCGUUCGCCUUUCCCAUCACAGGUGUGUUAAUUUGGGCGCUUCUUGGAUUCUACCCUGAGGAGGAGGCGCGUGGUGAGAGGAGAGAUCUUGAUCUGCCGCUCGCUGAGGUUCAGCAGGUUGGCCAUCUCUACACGGCGAGGCCGGCACAGGUAGCGGUUAAAAUGGAACUCCUUCUCCAGCUCCACCAGCUGUGCGCUCGUGUACGCCGUCCGCGCCCGCUUGGACGCCGCCGACCCCGGGGGGCUCUUGU